Molecule: long non-coding RNA, 595 nt
Filed under: Pongo abelii (Sumatran orangutan)
Lineage: Eukaryota; Metazoa; Chordata; Mammalia; Primates; Hominidae
Description: lincRNA
Source: RNAcentral
GCACAGGUGUGAGCCCUCUCAUCCAACUCCUGAGAUCUUAUCAGGAAGCGGCUCAUCACCAGCUUCAGGUGUUUCUAUUUAUUGGGAGACUGUCUUUCCCUGGCACCAGUUGCAACCAAUUAUUACUUUAGAGAGACAGUUUAACAACUGCCUGACCAUCACCUGAUGGUUGCCUGACAUUCCUGGGACUCCAGGUAAGAGCCCAGGCCAAAGGACACCUUGAUUUUGACCUUGUCAGACCUGGAAUUGAAAAACCAGCUGCACCCUUCUAGAAUUCUUACUUACAAAACUGAAGAUGUUACAGGACAAAAUGAUUUCACUGGGAGCUGAGUUUUGCCAGAUUUGGGGAAAUACUGAUGCAGAACAUCAUUUAUUGAAGGCUGAUACUUAUGGGUAGAAGAGUCAAAGUGCGAAUAUAUCCACACUUCUCUAUGGAUUCUGCAGAAAGAUAUGCUUGGGUCGUGACUCAGGUGAAUUUACUAUGAAACUUUGUCUUUGGCAAAGCAUCCCAUUCUUGGCUCUUCCAUAUAUAUAUAUGGUAAGUUUGGGAGUGGCCUUGCUAGUAAGGAAUAAAUUAUUUACUUGGUUCUAGCUA